AGUGAACGCUGGCGGUAGGCCUAACACAUGCAAGUCGAACGGCAGCACAGUAAGAGCUUGCUCUUACGGGUGGCGAGUGGCGGACGAGUGAGGAAUACAUCGGAAUCUACUUUUUCGUGGGGGAUAACGUAGGGAAACUUACGCUAAUACCGCAUACGACCUACGGGUGAAAGCAGGGGAUCUUCGGACCUUGCGCGAUUGAAUGAGCCGAUGUCGGAUUAGCUAGUUGGCGGGGUAAAGGCCCACCAAGGCGACGAUCCGUAGCUGGUCUGAGAGGAUGAUCAGCCGCACUGGAACUGAGACACGGUCCAGACUCCUACGGGAGGCAGCAGUGGGGAAUAUUGGACAAUGGGCGCAAGCCUGAUCCAGCCAUACCGCGUGGGUGAAGAAGGCCUUCGGGUUGUAAAGCCCUUUUGUUGGGAAAGAAAAGCAGCAGGUUAAUACCCCGCUGUUCUGACGGUACCCAAAGAAUAAGCACCGGCUAACUUCGUG
This 492-nucleotide ribosomal RNA is filed under the name uncultured bacterium. Its description in RNAcentral is "partial 16S ribosomal RNA". It matches the Rfam family "Bacterial small subunit ribosomal RNA", at positions 29 to 507 of the family's 1533-position model. The record is from RNAcentral.